Molecule: unclassified non-coding RNA, 564 nt
Filed under: Bombus terrestris (buff-tailed bumblebee)
Lineage: Eukaryota; Metazoa; Arthropoda; Insecta; Hymenoptera; Apidae
Description: misc RNA ENSBTSG00005036715.1
Source: RNAcentral
GAGAUUUUUUAAGGGUUAAGUAUAGAGAUUUUGUUUAUUUCACCAGCUAUAAAAAGAUAAUCUACUAAUAUUUCAGACAUGUUUUGCUUCAAGCUUUCGUAAUUAAUAAAUCGAAAAUAUAAAAUAAAAUCUAUUUUAUUAAACUUCUUUCGUUUAUAUGAAAGAGCUUUUUCUUGAAAAUGUACAUAUUUUAUUACACGAGUUUCACGCGAAAUAUUUCAUAAAAUUCUUCAUAUCAUAAAGUAUAUUGUAUUUCCCUCAAUAUUUAGUUCUUUACAUUAAAUGUCUUAUUCAUGACAAAGUAUUUCAUAUUUCGAUUUCAGAUAUCUUAUCUGAUACGGUUAACAUCUUUCAGGGCAAGAAUGUUACAACUAUUAUAUAAUUUGAAGGCAGUUUAUCUAUUAAUACCCAUAUUAACAAAUGCUACUGCAUUCAUUUACGUCGAUUUUGAAGAGGUCAAGUUUUCUUGCUUUUAUUCACACUGUCUUUGUACAAACAUUACACUAAUAAUACAAUUUAAUAUUAAUUUUGCAAGAAAUAUACAUAAUAAUAUACAUAAUAACA